UGUGGCCGGAACGCUGCGGCAGUCGAUCAUCGCAUGCUGUCGCAGUUGCCUCCCCGCCAUG
Molecule: non-coding RNA, 61 nt
Organism: Pseudomonas fluorescens
Lineage: Bacteria; Pseudomonadati; Pseudomonadota; Gammaproteobacteria; Pseudomonadales; Pseudomonadaceae
Source: Rfam